ACGUUGUUUGAAAGGAGAGAAGGUUAGCGCUCCCCUUGACAAGGAUGGAAGAGGUUCUGGUGACCUUCAGCACACAUUGCCACCUACUUUCUCACCAUGUUUUGGGUGGUUAUAGUGGUAAAAGCUCU
Small nuclear RNA from Labeo rohita (rohu), 128 nucleotides. NCBI's taxonomy places the organism in Eukaryota, Metazoa, Chordata, Actinopteri, Cypriniformes, Cyprinidae. The record is from RefSeq and is a predicted model, not a curated record.